UACGUAGGUGGCAAGCGUUGUCCGGAAUUACUGGGUGUAAAGGGCGUGUAGGCGGGGAUGCAAGUCAGAUGUGAAAUUCCGGGGCUCAACCCCGGCGCUGCAUCUGAAACUGUAUCUCUUGAGUGCUGGAGAGGAAAGCGGAAUUCCUAGUGUAGCGGUGAAAUGCGUAGAUAUUAGGAGGAACACCAGUGGCGAAGGCGGCUUUCUGGACAGUAACUGACGCUGAGGCGCGAAAGCGUGGGGAGCGAACAGG
This 253-nucleotide ribosomal RNA is filed under the name uncultured bacterium. RNAcentral's name for it is "partial 16S ribosomal RNA". It matches the Rfam family "Bacterial small subunit ribosomal RNA", at positions 524 to 776 of the family's 1533-position model. The record is from RNAcentral.